This 1504-nucleotide ribosomal RNA is filed under the name Psychrobacter fozii. Its description in RNAcentral is "bacterial SSU rRNA". It matches the Rfam family "Bacterial small subunit ribosomal RNA". Lineage: Bacteria; Pseudomonadati; Pseudomonadota; Gammaproteobacteria; Moraxellales; Moraxellaceae. The record is from RNAcentral.
CCCCCGCUCAGAUUGAACGCUGGCGGCAGGCUUAACACAUGCAAGUCGAGCGGAAACGAUGAUAGCUUGCUAUCAGGCGUCGAGCGGCGGACGGGUGAGUAAUACUUAGGAAUCUACCUAGUAGUGGGGGAUAGCACGGGGAAACUCGUAUUAAUACCGCAUACGACCUACGGGAGAAAGGGGGCAGUUUACUGCUCUCGCUAUUAGAUGAGCCUAAGUCGGAUUAGCUAGAUGGUGGGGUAAAGGCCUACCAUGGCGACGAUCUGUAGCUGGUCUGAGAGGAUGAUCAGCCACACCGGGACUGAGACACGGCCCGGACUCCUACGGGAGGCAGCAGUGGGGAAUAUUGGACAAUGGGGGAAACCCUGAUCCAGCCAUGCCGCGUGUGUGAAGAAGGCCUUUUGGUUGUAAAGCACUUUAAGCAGUGAAGAAGACUCCGUGGUUAAUACCCACGGACGAUGACAUUAGCUGCAGAAUAAGCACCGGCUAACUCUGUGCCAGCAGCCGCGGUAAUACAGAGGGUGCAAGCGUUAAUCGGAAUUACUGGGCGUAAAGGGAGCGUAGGUGGCUCGAUAAGUCAGAUGUGAAAUCCCCGGGCUCAACCUGGGAACUGCAUCUGAUACUGUUGAGCUAGAGUAUGUGAGAGGAAGGUAGAAUUCCAGGUGUAGCGGUGAAAUGCGUAGAGAUCUGGAGGAAUACCGAUGGCGAAGGCAGCCUUCUGGCAUAAUACUGACACUGAGGCUCGAAAGCGUGGGUAGCAAACAGGAUUAGAUACCCUGGUAGUCCACGCCGUAAACGAUGUCUACUAGUCGUUGGGUCCCUUGAGGACUUAGUGACGCAGCUAACGCAAUAAGUAGACCGCCUGGGGAGUACGGCCGCAAGGUUAAAACUCAAAUGAAUUGACGGGGGCCCGCACAAGCGGUGGAGCAUGUGGUUUAAUUCGAUGCAACGCGAAGAACCUUACCUGGUCUUGACAUAUCUAGAAUCCUGCAGAGAUGCGGGAGUGCCUUCGGGAAUUAGAAUACAGGUGCUGCAUGGCUGUCGUCAGCUCGUGUCGUGAGAUGUUGGGUUAAGUCCCGCAACGAGCGCAACCCUUGUCCUUAGUUACCAGCGGGUUAAGCCGGGAACUCUAAGGAUACUGCCAGUGACAAACUGGAGGAAGGCGGGGACGACGUCAAGUCAUCAUGGCCCUUACGACCAGGGCUACACACGUGCUACAAUGGUAGGUACAGAGGGCAGCUACACAGCGAUGUGAUGCGAAUCUCAAAAAGCCUAUCGUAGUCCAGAUUGGAGUCUGCAACUCGACUCCAUGAAGUAGGAAUCGCUAGUAAUCGCGGAUCAGAAUGCCGCGGUGAAUACGUUCCCGGGCCUUGUACACACCGCCCGUCACACCAUGGGAGUUGAUUGCACCAGAAGUGGAUAGCUUAACCUUCGGGGAGGCGUUCACCACGGUGUGGUUGAUGACUGGGGUGAAGUCGUAACAAGGUAGCCGUAGGGGAACCUG